RNAcentral lists this long non-coding RNA (228 nucleotides) under Gossypium barbadense (sea-island cotton). RNAcentral's name for it is "long non-coding RNA (GBAR_LNC004599)". The record is from RNAcentral. Lineage: Eukaryota; Viridiplantae; Streptophyta; Magnoliopsida; Malvales; Malvaceae.
GCUUUUUAUCUUUUUAGGAACAUAAUAUUUUCUCAAGUAAACUUGAAUGUUGCUGCAGGUGUCGCAGUUAUCUGAGGUCUUUGAGAUUUGCAGGGUCCUUCACUAUGGGCAAGGGCAAAAGUACCUUAAGAUUAAACCAGUAUUGGACCUUAAAAAUUACUUUAUGAGUUUCUUGUUUCUUUGAAUUUCCAACGAUUUUGUUUAACUUCCUUGACAUGUACAUUCCAG